This 852-nucleotide ribosomal RNA is filed under the name Cortinarius evernius. Its description in RNAcentral is "eukaryotic LSU rRNA". It matches the Rfam family "Eukaryotic large subunit ribosomal RNA", at positions 86 to 913 of the family's 3401-position model. Lineage: Eukaryota; Fungi; Basidiomycota; Agaricomycetes; Agaricales; Cortinariaceae. The record is from RNAcentral.
ACUGCGAGUGAAGCGGGAAAAGCUCAAAUUUAAAAUCUGGCGGUCUUUUGGCYGUCCGAGUUGUAAUCUAGAGAAGUGUUAUCCGCGCUGGACCGUGUACAAGUCUCCUGGAAUGGAGCAUCAUAGAGGGUGAGAAUCCCGUCUUUGACAUGGACUGCCAGGGCUUUUGUGAUGCGCUCUCAAAGAGUCGAGUUGUUUGGGAAUGCAGCUCAAAAUGGGUGGUAAAUUCCAUCUAAAGCUAAAUAUUGGCGAGAGACCGAUAGCGAACAAGUACCGUGAGGGAAAGAUGAAAAGAACUUUGGAAAGAGAGUUAAACAGUACGUGAAAUUGCUGAAAGGGAAACGCUUGAAGUCAGUCGCGUCGUCCAGGGAUCAACCUUGCUUUUGCUUGGUGCACUUUCUGGUCUGACGGGUCAGCAUCAAUUUUGAUCAUAUAUUGGAAAAAGAUUGAGGGAAUGUGGCAUCCUCGGAUGUGUUUAUAGCCCUUGGUCAAAUACAAUGGUUGGGAUUGAGGAACUCAGCACGCCGCAAGGCCGGGUGUUUACACCACGUACGUGCUUAGGAUGCUGGCANAUAUGGCUUUAAUCGACCCGUCUUGAAACACGGACCAAGGAGUCUAACAUGCCUGCGAGUGUUUGGGUGGAAAACCCGAGCGCGUAAUGAAAGUGAAAAGUUGAGAUCCCUGUCGUGGGGAGCAUCGACGCCCGGACCAGACCUUUUGUGACGGUUCCGCGGUAGAGCAUGUAUGUUGGGACCCGAAAGAUGGUGAACUAUGCCUGAAUAGGGUGAAUCCAGAGGAAACUCUGGUGGAGGCUCGUAGCGAUUCUGACGUGCAAAUCGAUCGUCAAAUUUG